GUGUCGCACGGCGCGGUGGCCCGGGCGUCGACGAUCAUUUCGUUGACGGAGCAGAUCGCGUUCCGGGUGCUGCCGUUGGUCGCGGCGGCGGUCUC
This 95-nucleotide transfer RNA is filed under the name Asanoa ferruginea. RNAcentral's name for it is "tRNA-Met". The record is from RNAcentral. Lineage: Bacteria; Bacillati; Actinomycetota; Actinomycetes; Micromonosporales; Micromonosporaceae.